This 72-nucleotide transfer RNA is filed under the name Perca fluviatilis (European perch). It matches the Rfam family "tRNA". Rfam says of the family: Transfer RNA (tRNA) molecules are approximately 80 nucleotides in length. Their secondary structure includes four short double-helical elements and three loops (D, anti-codon, and T loops). The record is from Rfam by way of RNAcentral. Lineage: Eukaryota; Metazoa; Chordata; Actinopteri; Perciformes; Percidae.
UCCCUGAUGGUCUAGUGGCUAGGAUUCGGCGCUCUCACUGUCGCAGCCCGGGUUCUAUUCCUUGUCAGGGAA